UAUAAGACUGGGAUAACUUCGGGAAACCGGGGCUAAUGCCGGAUAAUAUUUAGAACCGCAUGGUUCUAAAGUGAAAGAUGGUUUUGCUAUCACUUAUAGAUGGACCCGCGCCGUAUUAGCUAGUUGGUGGGGUAAUGGCUUACCAAGGCAACGAUACGUAGCCGACCUGAGAGGGUGAUCGGCCACACUGGAACUGAGACACGGUCCAGACUCCUACGGGAGGCAGCAGUAGGGAAUCUUCCGCAAUGGGCGAAAGCCUGACGGAGCAACGCCGCGUGAGUGAUGAAGGUCUUCGGAUCGUAAAACUCUGUUAUUAGGGAAGAACAAAUGUGUAAGUAACUGUGCACGUCUUGACGGUACCUAAUCAGAAAGCCACGGCUAACUACGUGCCAGCAGCCGCGGUAAUACGUAGGUGGCAAGCGUUAUCCGGAAUUAUUGGGCGUAAAGCGCGCGUAGGCGGUUUCUUAAGUCUGACGUGAAAGCCCACGGCUCAACCGUGGAGGGUCAUUGGAAACUGGGAAACUUGAGUGCAGAAGAGGAAAGUGGAAUUCCAUGUGUAGCGGUGAAAUGCGCAGAGAUAUGGAGGAACACCAGUGGCGAAGGCGACUUUCUGGUCUGUAACUGACGCUGAUGUGCGAAAGCGUGGGGAUCAAACAGGAUUAGAUACCCUGGUAGUCCACGCCGUAAACGAUGAGUGCUAAGUGUUAGGGGGUUUCCGCCCCUUAGUGCUGCAGCUAACGCAUUAAGCACUCCGCCUGGGGAGUACGACCGCAAGGUUGAAACUCAA
Molecule: ribosomal RNA, 787 nt
Filed under: uncultured Staphylococcus sp.
Lineage: Bacteria; Bacillati; Bacillota; Bacilli; Caryophanales; Staphylococcaceae
Description: bacterial SSU rRNA
Rfam family: Bacterial small subunit ribosomal RNA
Source: RNAcentral